Long non-coding RNA from Osmia bicornis bicornis, 1299 nucleotides. RefSeq lists it as uncharacterized. The record is from RefSeq and is a predicted model, not a curated record. The transcript has 2 exons. NCBI's taxonomy places the organism in Eukaryota, Metazoa, Arthropoda, Insecta, Hymenoptera, Megachilidae.
CUGCGUACAGUAACUGGUAAAUACGUUUGAUCGCCCCACACCGAAACUGUAUCGAAGUUUCCGUAUAGGUGAGCCGAGUUGCAACGGUGAUCUAUGGAGUACCCACGUAGCCAUGGAUGCACGUAGGCGAAGCGUUGCAUAGGAAUGCUAUCCAGCGGCGCGUUCACUCGCGCUCUCAAGCUAUUCUCAAGAUUUGUUACUUGACGUUGAGAAACUGUGGUUCCUACUUUGCGUCUAUGUAUAUACACCUAACGUACACCGGCUCGGCCAGCUUUCCGGCCAACAAUCGCCGGCUGUGAAAUAUAUUAAGUUCGGCGAACGAGUCGAGCUUUUUCUCCGUUGAAAUCGCAGCCGGGUCACGUAGGUUCGUUAAUCUCGAUGCGGGUUACUUUCGUGUAAAAAAAAGAAAAAAGAACACUAGGAAUCGAUACACAAUUCCGAAAUAAACUCCGUUCGUCCGACUUUCCGAUUUGAUACUCAUCCGAGGAAGGCUCAACAACGAAUGAAUACGUUCGAUGAUAAUACAAGUGUUUAUCCGAAGGGAUUAUCCCUUCCUCGAGCUCGGCUUCGCCGGUUUCGCAGGUCGCCUAGAGGCCCGAAACAAACUUCGUCUUUCGCAUUCACGUACCGGCAUUUAUCGAGCGAGGACGUCGAAAACGCACUCAGACUGAAGGGUUUCCCUCUCUCUCUUUCGAAGUACUUUUCAACGAUCAAUCGAACUGUGAGGAAAAGAUUUGUUCAACGAGAAGGAGAAACGGCGGAUGGAUGUAUCAAAGUUUCGUUGAAGAACGCGAAUUUGUGAGACGAUGGGAGUACAGGGAACGAAAGUCGGCGUACACGCGAACAAACUUAAAUCCGGAACACGGAUUCGUACGAAAGAAACAGAGCUUUCUCGUUUCAAACUGGAAGCGAUCUCAGAAAGUAAAUAAAAAUUCCAAAUAUUCGCGGUCGGAUCGUUCUGUUAUCUUUCGGUAACAGUGUUUUUCGUUCCAUUUAUUUAUAAUCUCUUAUGAAUAAGCAAAUUUUACAGAUGGGUGUCGCUCAGUUUUAUUUAGUACUUUGUUAUUUCUUCUGUGAUCGACAGAGUUUGAAUGAUGUAUUUGUUGAUAUUUCAAAGAAUUUCUCACUGAAUUUGUGCCAAUAUUUCGAUACUGGAGAUGGAUGGCGAAUUCCAUAGUUCUACGUCAAACCUGUAUUCCUUUUAAUCCUUUAUGCACUCCCGUAACUUUGACGUACCUACCAUUUACGUUUGAAGUUAAAAAAUAUUCGUCCAACAAAAUAUAAUAUUCUAAACGUGAA